UGGGGAAUUUUGGACAAUGGGCGAAAGCCUGAUCCAGCAAUGCCGCGUGUGUGAAGAAGGCCUUCGGGUUGUAAAGCACUUUUGUCCGGAAAGAAAUCCUUGGCUCUAAUACAGUCGGGGGAUGACGGUACCGGAAGAAUAAGCACCGGCUAACUACGUGCCAGCAGCCGCGGUAAUACGUAGGGUGCAAGCGUUAAUCGGAAUUACUGGGCGUAAAGCGUGCGCAGGCGGUUUGCUAAGACCGAUGUGAAAUCCCCGGGCUCAACCUGGGAACUGCAUUGGUGACUGGCAGGCUAGAGUAUGGCAGAGGGGGGUAGAAUUCCACGUGUAGCAGUGAAAUGCGUAGAGAUGUGGAGGAAUACCGAUGGCGAAGGCAGCCCCCUGGGCCAAUACUGACGCUCAUGCACGAAAGCGUGGGGAGCAAACAGGAUUAGAUACCCUGGUAGUCCACGCCCUAAACGAUGUCAACUAGUUGUUGGGGAUUCAUUCCUUAGUAACGUAGCUAACGCGUGAAGUUGACCGCCU
Molecule: ribosomal RNA, 525 nt
Filed under: uncultured bacterium
Lineage: Bacteria
Description: partial 16S ribosomal RNA
Rfam family: Bacterial small subunit ribosomal RNA
Source: RNAcentral